This 399-nucleotide ribosomal RNA is filed under the name uncultured bacterium. RNAcentral describes it as "bacterial SSU rRNA". It matches the Rfam family "Bacterial small subunit ribosomal RNA", at positions 329 to 725 of the family's 1533-position model. The record is from RNAcentral.
UCCCAGACUCCUACGGGAGGCAGCAGUGAGGAAUAUUGGUCAAUGGGCGGAAGCCUGAACCAGCCAAGUCGCGUGAGGGAAUAAGGCCCUACGGGUCGUAAACCUCUUUUGCCGGGGAGCAAGGGCGGGGACGUGUCCCGGCCCGGAGAGUACCCGGAGAAAAAGCAUCGGCUAACUCCGUGCCAGCAGCCGCGGUAAUACGGAGGAUGCGAGCGUUAUCCGGAUUUAUUGGGUUUAAAGGGUGCGUAGGCGGGCGUUUAAGUCAGCUGUAAAAAUUCGGGGCUCAACCCCGUCCGGCCGUUGAAACUGGGGGCCUUGAGUGCGCGAGAAGUAUGCGGAAUGCGUGGUGUAGCGGUGAAAUGCAUAGAUAUCCCGCAGAACUCCGAUUGCGAAGGGAGC